Molecule: long non-coding RNA, 848 nt
Organism: Equus quagga
Lineage: Eukaryota; Metazoa; Chordata; Mammalia; Perissodactyla; Equidae
Exons: 3
Source: RefSeq, a predicted model, not a curated record
UGCACUCGUGCCCUCAGGGAGCUUACAGUUCUGUGGGAGAAUGCCAUAAACAAGGAACAACAACGUGUGGGGCAGUCCAGCGAGCCCAGGAACACUCUGGAAGGACACCUCGCCUCCACCUGCCUGGUUGGGGUGCCUCGUCUGAGAAGGAGACUUCCAAUCCGAGACGCGCGCGGAGGCUUCCUCAUCUGCAGGGUGAGAGGUCGUCUCUCAGCAUGUCAGUCAUCUUGGGGUGCACGAGGUGACAUCGCGGCUCCUCCCCUGUUUGCCUUUGGGCCAGCUGUGCUCCAUCUCAGGAUGCAAGCAGCUGUUUCAACAACGCGAGCUGCUGGUCACAAGGGGGCUGGCCAGCAUUGGCGGUGGAGGCAAGGCAGAAGGCCGGCGGGCCUGGCGGCUGGCCCCUGAACCAGAGUCCCUGUUAGAAGGAGACCAGCUGACUGUCUGCAGUGGGGCCAGGAUGCUCAGCAGUCGGCUCAGUGCAGGCUUGGCAGAAACCGUGGGGACACGGGUGACAGCCUGGGCUUGAGCAAAGGCCAACAGGGCGAGUGGACUCUGACAUCUCAAAGCAAAGCUCUGGGUGGGCGGCUCAGAGCACAGCCCUCACUGACCAGGCUUCUCUCCCACCGCCCUUGCACACCAUGCUUCCCACUGAACACGGUGCCCAGGGGCCCAUCUCCCUGCCAACUACCUGUCUGUACCCGCCACGGGGCUCAGACGAACACUGGCUUCUCCUUGCCAUGCACUCCUGUUACCCAACCAGGUUCGUUUUUGCCCGCUGCCCAGAAAGCCAAACCCCGAGAGGACGAGAUUGCUGCAGAGAGAGGGUUUACUCACAAGGCAGCCACGUG